RNAcentral lists this ribosomal RNA (391 nucleotides) under Papilio deiphobus deiphobus. RNAcentral describes it as "partial 16S ribosomal RNA". The record is from RNAcentral. Lineage: Eukaryota; Metazoa; Arthropoda; Insecta; Lepidoptera; Papilionidae.
UUUGACUGUACAAAGGUAGCAUAAUCAAUAGUCUCUUAAUUGGUGACUUGUAUGAAAGAUUGGAUGAGAUAUAUACUGUCUCUAAUUAAUUUAUAGAAUUUAAUUUUUUAGUAAAAAAGCUAAAAUAAUUUUAAAAGACGAGAAGACCCUAUAGAGUUUAAUAAUUUAUUUAAUUAUUAUUAAUAUAUAAUUUUUAAAAUUAAAAUUAAAUAGAUUAUUUUAUUGGGGUGAUAGAAAAAUUAAAUUAACUUUUUUUUAUUAUUUACAUUAAUUUAUGAUUAAAUGAUCCAUUUAUAAUGAUUAAAAGAAAAAAUUACCUUAGGGAUAACAGCGUAAUUUUUUUUUUUAGUUCAAAUAGGAAAAAAAGUUUGCGACCUCGAUGUUGGAUUAA